This 260-nucleotide unclassified non-coding RNA is filed under the name Hevea brasiliensis (rubber tree). The record is from RNAcentral. Lineage: Eukaryota; Viridiplantae; Streptophyta; Magnoliopsida; Malpighiales; Euphorbiaceae.
GGAUUAAUACUUUCCAUGAAACACCUAGCAGGGAUUGGUUUCAAACUGAUGCAGUGUUGCGAGUUAGCUUGGGAAAUUUUCUCUUCUUCACCAUUCUAUCUGUAAUGAUGGUUGGUGUAAAAAGUCAAAGGGAUCCCCGGGAUAGUAUUCACCAUGGUGGAUGGAUGGUGAAAGUUAUUUGUUGGUUCCUUCUGGUGGUACUAAUGUUUUUCAUUCCCAAUGAGAUUAUUACCUUUUAUGAAUCUAUAUCAAAAUUUGGC